CCUGCCUGUAAGUUGGGGAUAACUCCGGGAAACCGGGGCUAAUACCGAAUGAUAGAAUGUGGCGCAUGCCACGCUUUUGAAAGAUGGUUUCGGCUAUCGCUUACAGAUGGGCCCGCGGUGCAUUAGCUAGUUGGUAGGGUAAUGGCCUACCAAGGCAACGAUGCAUAGCCGACCUGAGAGGGUGAUCGGCCACACUGGGACUGAGACACGGCCCAGACUCCUACGGGAGGCAGCAGUAGGGAAUCUUCCGCAAUGGACGAAAGUCUGACGGAGCAACGCCGCGUGUAUGAAGAAGGUUUUCGGAUCGUAAAGUACUGUUGUUAGAGAAGAACAAGGAUAAGAGUAACUGCUUGUCCCUUGACGGUAUCUAACCAGAAAGCCACGGCUAACUACGUGCCAGCAGCCGCGGUAAUACGUAGGUGGCAAGCGUUGUCCGGAUUUAUUGGGCGUAAAGCGCGCGCAGGCGGUCUUUUAAGUCUGAUGUGAAAGCCCCCGGCUUAACCGGGGAGGGUCAUUGGAAACUGGAAGACUGGAGUGCAGAAGAGGAGAGUGGAAUUCCACGUGUAGCGGUGAAAUGCGUAGAUAUGUGGAGGAACACCAGUGGCGAAGGCGACUCUCUGGUCUGUAACUGACGCUGAGGCGCGAAAGCGUGGGGAGCAAACAGGAUU
Molecule: ribosomal RNA, 668 nt
Filed under: Listeria monocytogenes
Lineage: Bacteria; Bacillati; Bacillota; Bacilli; Caryophanales; Listeriaceae
Description: bacterial SSU rRNA
Rfam family: Bacterial small subunit ribosomal RNA
Source: RNAcentral